UACCUCUACUUAUCUGACUGCAGGACUCAUACCAGAGAACAGUUGAACAUGAUGGACUGUAGGACAGGACUGCUGCUCUUAACUAUCUGCUGGGCAGGUGUUGAUGGUCAGACUCUGACUGAAUCUGGACCUGCAGUAAAAAGACCUGGAGAAUCCCACAGACUGACCUGUACAACAUCUGGAUUCACAUUCAGCAGCUACUGGAUGGCCUGGAUCAGACAGGCUCCUGGAAAAGGACUGGAGUGGAUCACUUAUAUUGCUACUACUACCACUUACUAUUCCCAGUCAGUCCAAGGCCGUUUCACCAUCUCCAGAGACAACGGCAGAAACCAGCUGUAUCUGCAGAUGAACAGUCUGAAAACUGAAGAUUCUGCUGUUUAUUAUUGUGCUCGACACCCACAGUGA
Non-coding RNA from Sphaeramia orbicularis (orbiculate cardinalfish), 405 nucleotides. The record is from the annotation of a RefSeq genome assembly. NCBI's taxonomy places the organism in Eukaryota, Metazoa, Chordata, Actinopteri, Kurtiformes, Apogonidae.